RNAcentral lists this ribosomal RNA (2433 nucleotides) under Streptococcus pneumoniae GA47368. RNAcentral describes it as "bacterial LSU rRNA". It matches the Rfam family "Bacterial large subunit ribosomal RNA", at positions 14 to 2471 of the family's 2925-position model. Lineage: Bacteria; Bacillati; Bacillota; Bacilli; Lactobacillales; Streptococcaceae. The record is from RNAcentral.
AGGGCGCACGGUGGAUGCCUUGGCACUAGGAGCCGACGAAGGACGUGACAAACGACGAUAUGCCUUGGGUAGCUGUAAGUAAGCGAUGAUCCAGGGAUUUCCGAAUGGGGGAACCCAACAGGUAGUACCUGUUACCCACAUCUGUUAAGGAUGUGAGGAGGAAGACGCAGUGAACUGAAACAUCUAAGUAGCUGCAGGAAGAGAAAGCAAAAGCGAUUGCCUUAGUAGCGGCGAGCGAAACGGCAGGAGGGCAAACCGAAGAGUUUACUCUUCGGGGUUGUAGGACUGCAAUGUGGACUCAAAGAUUAUAGAAGAAUGAUUUGGGAAGAUCAGCCAAAGAGAGUAAUAGCCUCGUAUUUAAAAUAGUCUUUGUACCUAGCAGUAUCCUGAGUACGGCGGGACACGUGAAAUCCCGUCGGAAUCUGGGAGGACCAUCUCCCAACCCUAAAUACUCCCUAGUGACCGAUAGUGAACCAGUACCGUGAGGGAAAGGUGAAAAGCACCCCGGGAGGGGAGUGAAAUAGAACCUGAAACCGUGUGCCUACAACAAGUUCGAGCCCGUUAAUGGGUGAGAGCGUGCCUUUUGUAGAAUGAACCGGCGAGUUACGUUAUGAUGCGAGGUUAAGUUGAAGAGACGGAGCCGUAGGGAAACCGAGUCUGAAUAGGGCGCCUUAGUAUCAUGACGUAGACCCGAAACCAUGUGACCUACCCAUGAGCAGGUUGAAGGUGCGGUAAGACGCACUGGAGGACCGAACCAGGGCACGUUGAAAAGUGCUUGGAUGACUUGUGGGUAGCGGAGAAAUUCCAAACGAACUUGGAGAUAGCUGGUUCUCUCCGAAAUAGCUUUAGGGCUAGCGUCGACAUUAGAGAUUCUUGGAGGUAGAGCACUGUUUGGGUGAGGGGUCCAUCCCGGAUUACCAAUCUCAGAUAAACUCCGAAUGCCAAUGAAUUAUGGUCGGCAGUCAGACUGCGAGUGCUAAGAUCCGUAGUCGAAAGGGAAACAGCCCAGACCACCAGCUAAGGUCCCAAAAUAAUUGUUAAGUGGAAAGGAUGUGGGGUUGCACAGACAACUAGGAUGUUAGCUUAGAAGCAGCUAUUCAUUCAAAGAGUGCGUAAUAGCUCACUAGUCGAGUGACCCUGCGCCGAAAAUGUACCGGGGCUAAAACAAUUUACCGAAGCUGUGGAUACCUUUAUAGGUAUGGUAGGAGAGCGUUCUAUGUGUGGUGAAGGUAUACCGUGAGGAGUGCUGGAACGCAUAGAAGUGAGAAUGCCGGUAUGAGUAGCGAAAGACAGGUGAGAAUCCUGUCCACCGUAAGACUAAGGUUUCCAGGGGAAGGCUCGUCCGCCCUGGGUUAGUCGGGACCUAAGGAGAGACCGAAAGGUGUAUCCGAUGGACAACAGGUUGAUAUUCCUGUACUAGAGUAUGUAGUGAUGGAGGGACGCAGUAGGCUAACUAAAGCAGACGAUUGGAAGAGUCUGUCUAAGCAGUGAGGUGUGAAUUGAGUCAAAUGCUUAAUUCUAUAACAUUGAGCUGUGAUGGGGAGCGAAGUUUAGUAGCGAAGUUAGUGACGUCACACUGCCAAGAAAAGCUUCUAGCGUUUAAACAUACUCUACCCGUACCGCAAACCGACACAGGUAGUCGAGGCGAGUAGCCUCAGGUGAGCGAGAGAACUCUCGUUAAGGAACUCGGCAAAAUGACCCCGUAACUUCGGGAGAAGGGGUGCUGACUUAAAGUCAGCCGCAGUGAAUAGGCCCAAGCAACUGUUUAUCAAAAACACAGCUCUCUGCUAAAUCGUAAGAUGAUGUAUAGGGGGUGACGCCUGCCCGGUGCUGGAAGGUUAAGAGGAGUGCUUAGCGUAAGCGAAGGUAUGAAUUGAAGCCCCAGUAAACGGCGGCCGUAACUAUAACGGUCCUAAGGUAGCGAAAUUCCUUGUCGGGUAAGUUCCGACCCGCACGAAAGGCGUAAUGAUUUGGGCACUGUCUCAACGAGAGACUCGGUGAAAUUUUAGUACCUGUGAAGAUGCAGGUUACCCGCGACAGGACGGAAAGACCCCAUGGAGCUUUACUGCAGUUUGAUAUUGAGUGUCUGUACCACAUGUACAGGAUAGGUAGGAGUCUAAGAAAUCGGGACGCCAGUUUCGAAGGAGACGCUGUUGGGAUACUACCCUUGUGUUAUGGCCACUCUAACCCAGAUAGGUGAUCCCUAUCGGAGACAGUGUCUGACGGGCAGUUUGACUGGGGCGGUCGCCUCCUAAAAGGUAACGGAGGCGCCCAAAGGUUCCCUCAGAAUGGUUGGAAAUCAUUCGCAGAGUGUAAAGGUAUAAGGGAGCUUGACUGCGAGAGCUACAACUCGAGCAGGGACGAAAGUCGGGCUUAGUGAUCCGGUGGUUCCGUAUGGAAGGGCCAUCGCUCAACGGAUAAAAGCUACCCUGG